This 433-nucleotide ribosomal RNA is filed under the name uncultured bacterium. Its description in RNAcentral is "partial 16S ribosomal RNA". It matches the Rfam family "Bacterial small subunit ribosomal RNA", at positions 29 to 507 of the family's 1533-position model. The record is from RNAcentral.
AACGAACGCUGGCGGCAUGCCUAACACAUGCAAGUCGAACGAGACCUUCGGGUCUAGUGGCGCACGGGUGCGUAACGCGUGGGAACCUGCCCUUAGGUUCGGAAUAACUCCCCGACAGGGGUGCUAAUACCGGAUAAUGUCUUCGGACCAAAGAUUUAUCGCCUUUGGAUGGGCCCGCGUUGGAUUAGCUAGUUGGUAGGGUAAAAGCCUACCAAGGCGACGAUCCAUAGCUGGUCUGAGAGGAUGAUCAGCCACACUGGGACUGGGACACGGCCCAGACUCCUACGGGAGGCAGCAGUGGGGAAUAUUGGACAAUGGGCGAAAGCAUGAUCCAGCAAUGCCGCGUGAGUGAUGAAGGCCUUAGGGUUGUAAAGCUCUUUUACCCGGGAUGAUAAUGACAGUACCGGGAGAAUAAGCUCCGGCUAACUCCGUG